UACGGAGGGGGCAAGCGUUAUUCGGAAUUAUUGGGCGUAAAGAGCUCGUAGGCGGUUUGUCACGUCUGCUGUGAAAUCCCGAGGCUCAACCUCGGGCCUGCAGUGGGUACGGGCAGACUGGAGUGCGGUAGGGGAGAAUGGAAUUCCUGGUGUAGCGGUGGAAUGCGCAGAUAUCAGGAGGAACACCGAUGGCGAAGGCAGUUCUCUGGGCCGUAACUGACGCUGAGGAGCGAAAGCGUGGGGAGCGAACAGG
RNAcentral lists this ribosomal RNA (253 nucleotides) under uncultured bacterium. Its description in RNAcentral is "partial 16S ribosomal RNA". It matches the Rfam family "Bacterial small subunit ribosomal RNA", at positions 524 to 776 of the family's 1533-position model. The record is from RNAcentral.